CAGCCGCCGCGGUAAAACCAGCACCUCAAGUGGUCAGGAUGAUUAUUGGGCCUAAAGCAUCCGUAGCCGGCUCUGUAAGUUUUCGGUUAAAUCUGUACGCUCAACGUACAGGCUGCCGGGAAUACUGCAGAGCUAGGGAGUGGGAGAGGUAGACGGUACUUGGUAGGAAGGGGUAAAAUCCUUUGAUCUAUUGAUGACCACCUGUGGCGAAGGCGGUCUACCAGAACACGUCCGACGGUGAGGGAUGAAAGCUGGGGGAGCAAACCGGAUUAGAUACCCGGGUAGUCCCAGCUGUAAACUAUGCAAACUCAGUGAUGCAUUGGCUUGUGGCCAAUGCAGUGCUGCAGGGAAGCCGUUAAGUUUGCCGCCUGGGAAGUACGUACGCAAGUAUGAAACUUAAAGGAAUUGGCGGGGGAGCAC
Molecule: ribosomal RNA, 420 nt
Filed under: uncultured Nitrososphaerota archaeon
Lineage: Archaea; Thermoproteati; Nitrososphaerota
Description: bacterial SSU rRNA
Rfam family: Archaeal small subunit ribosomal RNA
Source: RNAcentral